GAAGCAGCCAGCUUGCUGGAAGCGGAAAAGGGAAAGGCUUAGUGGCGGACGGGUGAGUAACGCGUGGGUAACCUGGCCCAUACAGGGGGAUAACACUUAGAAAUAGGUGCUAAUACCGCAUAACAACAGAAAGCGCAUGCUUUUUGUUUGAAAACCAAGGUGGUAUGGGAUGGACCCGCGUCUGAUUAGCUGGUUGGCGGGGUAAAGGCCCACCAAGGCGACGAUCAGUAGCCGGCCUGAGAGGGUGGACGGCCACAUUGGGACUGAGACACGGCCCAAACUCCUACGGGAGGCAGCAGUGGGGAAUAUUGCACAAUGGGGGAAACCCUGAUGCAGCGACGCCGCGUGAGUGAAGAAGUAAUUCGUUAUGUAAAGCUCUAUCAGCAGGGAAGAAAAUGACGGUACCUGAGUAAGAAGCCCCGGCUAACUACGUGCCAGCAGCCGCGGUAAUACGUAGGGGGCAAGCGUUAUCCGGAUUUACUGGGUGUAAAGGGAGCGUAGACGGCAGUGCAAGUCUGGAGUGAAAGGCGGGGGCUCAACCCCCGGACUGCUCUGGAAACUGUACGGCUGGAGUGCAGGAGAGGUAAGUGGAAUUCCUAGUGUAGCGGUGAAAUGCGUAGAUAUUAGGAGGAACACCAGUGGCGAAGGCGGCUUACUGGACUGUAACUGACGUUGAGGCUCGAAAGCGUGGGGAGCAAACAGGAUUAGAUACCCUGGUAGUCCACGCCGUAAACGAUGAUCACUAGGUGUCGGGGGUUAAAGAACCUUCGGUGCC
RNAcentral lists this ribosomal RNA (775 nucleotides) under uncultured bacterium. RNAcentral's name for it is "bacterial SSU rRNA". It matches the Rfam family "Bacterial small subunit ribosomal RNA", at positions 58 to 847 of the family's 1533-position model. The record is from RNAcentral.